AUUGACAGAACGUUUACUUAGGCCAGCGUUCUCUGAUUACGCGCUUUUUCCUUUCUUUUCUUUUUCUGUUUUUUUUUCAGUGCGCGGUGAAGUAUCCACCGAAUUCCCUACCUCCGAGUUACAUUACCUAUACUUCUUCUCAGAUAUUCUGGUCGUUUCUCACGUCCUCUCGUGUGUGCCUAGUGCCUGCUGUUCCGUAUCCGCCUUUGCGCCUGAACCGCUGGAGCAGAUAGUUCAUAGAGCUAGCGCUGCGUUGCUGUACCGCACAAAGGGCGUCGGCUCGAGGGUAGCGAUUCCUGUAUGCGCAUUUUGCGAUCACAGCGCCGUUACAGGCCGCUUUGCCUGAAUAUGAUGAGCGGGCGCGCGACAACUUGAGACGUGAGCGCCUCCUCCAGCGCUAGGAUAUGUACCAUGCUGGGUACUGUAUUACGGAUCUGGAUCUGUAUCCAUUGAACGAAUCGAUGCGUGCUAAGCGCACCGCUAACGCUUGGCGCGGUAUCGACGAGGCCUUGAUAUCCAGGUACCGGCGGCAGGCAUCCAGGCGAAGCACGCUACGGGUUCUUUGUGGCUGACGUGCCCGUGUCGCCGCCGCGUGGCGGGUGCAGUGGCGCACUUUGUGCAUAGUCGUCAACAAUUCGGAAAGUUUUGGCGUAAGAAACGUCGCCGGUGCGUACAUGGCUCUGUUCCACAGGGCAGCGAGGCGCUCCGGGAGGCGAGGGCAGCGCGGCUGCAUUUGCGGAAGCAGAGAGACUGAGCUCCCGGCAGCCGGCCUCAUUGUGGGUGCGCGUCCGUGUAGUCUGCUCUGCACCACCGACUUGGACAGGUUCGAAAUCCAGAAUGCGCCUGAAUGUUCAGAUCGUGCGUACUCGUCGUGGUACCAAGUUUGCGAGGCAGCCUCGGGAUCGGCCUGACUGGAAACCAGCCUUCGUUCGCAACCGCGUGACGCUAGCGCGGCAACUGCUGACAACGGAGCGUUUGCCCUCAAAUUACAGGAGCACGCCGGUGUUUGCUGCAACUCGAGAACAAAACAGCAUGUGCUCUGUGGGAGCGCCUUUCCGAGCAAGUCCAAACCAGGUCAGAGUGGAUUUUGCACUUUGGGCAGCUGCGACCACCCCGCAACGCAAGGACAUCACCACCAGAUGGGUGACUUGCCUGCCCAUUGAUCGCGUACCGAACUGGUCCACCGAGCACCGUCCGUCACGGCGUCAGGGAAUGCUCAGCUCGAGUGCCAUUCUGGUUCGUCAGAGCGCAUAGCGUUUUCCUUUACGCAAAUCUCGCGGAGAUAUUCGCAUGCUUGUUCUACGUUUCAGCCAUAUUUCAUGCUAGCGUCUGAGCGAGAGAAACGCUGGGUACGCAUCAUGCUUGAUAUCAUCAUUCUUGUAGCAGGGAUGGUGUCAGCCUACCAGCUCGCAGGGCAUUGGUACGGGUCUUCCAGCAGUGCCUGACGCGCGCCCCAGACAAUCUGGACGCUGCAACGCUCAGGCGGCCUAGAGCGGUGCGCACCAAGCGACAGGAGCACAGAAUAUCUCCGCAGUAUCGCCGAGCAUUUGUUGCUCACCGAUCAAGUCUGUUCUUGGAUGCUGGGCAGACGCAUAUCUAAACGCCCAGGGGCCUUGAUCCUUUUCUGAGUCCUGGUCUACAGAGCGACAAGUCAUCCUGUGAAAAAUCGCCACCAGUGCUGCCAUGGAAGAAAACCGCCGCACCGUGGGCAGCGUUCUAGCUUCGCUGAGUCGGUGGCGACCAAACCCGAGCCCUUGCACGUCGCACAGGAUCGCUGUCGCGCUAUCGCCUUCAGAAACACUACCAGUCCGACGAAGAACGGGACCGUGCUCAACAAAGAGGCAACCCAAAUGACUGGGCUCACUGGCUGUGGUCCCAGUUCACUCAGCAUAUCACUGGGAAGUACCAGCAUGUCAAGAAACGCCACUCGUCGCCUCGCGAACCGGGCGCUCCAGCGCAGCUUGCGUUCACGUCCGAGACCUCGUACGGGGCGUGCCUGAGACCCAGGCCCACUACGACGUGGCACACAGCCUGCGUUCAAGAACAUCGUCUUCGUACCGACUACAGAUAACGUUUAUGAGCAGAGCUUGCUCACACCUGGGCCAAGCCAGACCUCACAAACCCCGUACCUGAACAGCUUGCUAUGAACGCCACCGAAGCAACGCAGAGCACGUUGUUGCCCACGCGAGGGCCUUUCAACCGCCUGCUCCUACGUUUCAGUGUGAACUGGAGCGUGUGCACCCGCCUGCGUCGCCCGAUCGAUGCCUGCGCGAUUCCCGCAUCGUCGUGUCCUUGACAUGCUCCUGAAUUGUUUUCCAAUCCCUAGAUGCGUUUCAUCAAAGGCUGUCUCGCUGGUUAGCGCUGAUGCAUUCAAGGUGUGUUCAUUUGAAGAAAUAAGGAGUGCAAGGGAAAGUUAUGGGCGUGAAAGUCGGGGAUCCUGAAGGGCCGUUAUCGUCCGCUGCCGAAAAAUCCUCUUCUUGCUGACGAUCGAGCGAAGAAGAAGCACAAGCGACGACGACGAAGAAGCAGAAGAAGAGGUGUUGGAUAGGCGAGCCUCUAGUGGCACAGCGAGCACGAGUUCUAAAACUUCUUGCAAUCGUGCGUUCAACCAGUGGCACUGCACGCAAGGAGAUCAAGAACCGAGACCUCAACGCCACCAUCAAUAUCAGACGAUGUGCGGUGCUGAAGGCCAGAUCCGCAGAACUGACGCGAUCCAACUUUGUGGGCAGCCUCCCAGACUACAGGUGCACCUGGGUAAAUCAAAACCGAUAGCAGGCCGCUGGUCAAAACAGGCUGGGAGGCGUCUGCGCCUGGGUAUUCAUUGAACCUACAUGGUUGCGAAACGUUUUCGCUCUAUUGAACAUACAUGAUACCAAGUUGGAGCGAUCAGGGUUCGCGAUGCGGGCGUCCUUGGCCGAAUAUCCCGCAUGUGUAAGCGGCGAUCCAGAUGAAGAAAGGCGGCAUCUAGCGUAGAAGCACGCUGAACGUAUCCAUGUUGUGAUCCGAAGCAUGAUCGGUAACGAGCAUUUGCUGUCGAGGGUGUGCGAGCUUGCACAAACCCUCGAAAACUCGUAAAAUGCGUUUUCAUCACGACACCGGUGAGUUCAGUACACGUAUCGAGCUGGUGGUUUCGCUGCCAACGGUUAAGGUAGCGAAUUCGACCACAGAGAGCGCGGCUUCGUGCACACACGUUUCAUCCAGGAAACGAGCGACUGGGUACGCUCGUGAUCCCACACAUAUGGAGAAUCCGGGGCGCUCGCGUUGAGCACCAGGAGCGAGCCAGCGAUCGCAGCAGCGUGCCCGCAAGCCUCCUGGGCGGACGGGUCGUCGUCCCUCGUGCGCUGCAAUACGAAAACCGAUGGUUAUACUCGUGCAACAUUAUGACAUGUUGCUGCUUGCAAUGAAAAGGUUUUGCGAAUUCUAGACUUGAUCACGGGAAGCUUCUCGCCUGCAUUCAGUGUCAUCCGCGAUAUGCUAGAUCGUCUGGAAAAGUUCAGGAGUCGCAGCAACGACGAGUACACCUCUCGGCACUGGUUAUUUGCGUCCGGAUGCUGGGUCAGUGCAGGGCCUCAAAUACGGAAGUAGCGCACCAUCUGGACACCUUUCCGCUCCAGACCGAGUUUCGCAUAAAAGGCCUCG
RNAcentral lists this unclassified non-coding RNA (3639 nucleotides) under Cyanidioschyzon merolae strain 10D. RNAcentral describes it as "hypothetical transcript". Lineage: Eukaryota; Rhodophyta; Bangiophyceae; Cyanidiales; Cyanidiaceae. The record is from RNAcentral.